RNAcentral lists this long non-coding RNA (1379 nucleotides) under Monodelphis domestica (gray short-tailed opossum). RNAcentral describes it as "lncRNA (ENSMODG00000045919.1)". The record is from RNAcentral. Lineage: Eukaryota; Metazoa; Chordata; Mammalia; Didelphimorphia; Didelphidae.
AUAAGAAAUCUGCAGAAAAACAGAAAGGACGUUAAAUAAGAAUAUCUACUAUCAGGCAGAUUCAGUGUUGAAGAAUGGCUGAUUUUGACAAUAGCCUCAGCCUGCAAGAUGCUUUAACUGAAACACCACCUGAAAUUGAGGAAGAGAUAAAACGAGAUUUCAUGAGCACACUAGAAGCAGAACCAUAUGAUGAUGUGGUGGGAGAAACUGUGAGCAAAACAGACUACAUUCCCCUCCUGGAUGAUGAUGAUAAAACUGGGAACCCAGAGUCAAAGAGCAGACCUCAUCUGGAUGGUGGUCAGGUUGAAAGCACUACACCUACCAAACCAACAGUGUUAGCUAAUGGUGAUCAUGAAAUAGAAGAGAAUGAUGCCACUGAUCCUUAUCAGAUGUACCAAGAUAAUAUCUUGUCAGAUUUGUUGUUUGUCUCUCCUGGAUUGGUGAACACCUCACCAUUUGCAGAACAUUUGGAUUCUUCAAAAGACAAUAUUGCAGUUGAGCCCUCCUAUGAAUCAUUUGUUUCAAGAACUGAGACAGGAUCAGGAGGAUGGCCCAUGGAAGCCCAGAACCCUUCAGACUCAUCCCCCUUUGUCUUCCUGGAAUCUAAUCCUCAGCCUCUCCAGCCCACAACAGAGCCAAUCAAGGAGGUAGAGAUGGAGGUAGAAUUAACCAAGGAGGCAUUAUCAGUAAAAGAGGUGGAAAUGAACCUGGCACCUUCCAUGGAAGUGGAGAAAGCACCAGUAAUGGAAAGUCAGCCAUUUAUAGAGGUGGCAUCAGUCAAGGGGGAGGAUGAACCAGCUAUGGAGAUGGCAUCAUCCAAGGGGGUGGAAGAUGAACUAGCCAUGGAGGUGGCAUCAAUCAAGGAGGAAGAGAAUAAACUAGCUUUGGAGGUAACCCCAGACUUAAGGGCUCAGACAGAACAAGUCGCAGAAAUGAUACCAACUGAACAGACCCAAGAAGUCCCAUGUGUGGAUAUGGAACUUGCCAAGGAGAACCAGGCGAUCCCAGCCAAGGAGUCCCAGGUGGUGCCAGCUGUUGAGGUGGUAAAGAUACCAGCUGUGGAGGUCGAACAAACUAAGGAAGCCCAGCUGGCACCAGUCAUGGAACUGACACUGACCAAGGACAUAGAGGCAAUAACAACCCCAGCCAAGGAUGUGGAAGUAGAGAAAAUGAGUGAACCUCAGAGACUGGCAUCUCCCCAGGCUGAAGAAAGCUGUGUUUUCAUGGCCUCCCCAGAGUCCCCUAAGAUACCCGGCAUGGACAGUUUGGAACCACUGCAGGAACAGGUACUGCCUGGAGUUGUUUCUCCUAACACAGAACCAAGAACAGAUUCCAAAGUGGAUGAUUCGAAUUACUUUGAACAAACAGGUAAAUGCUAG